RNAcentral lists this transfer RNA (65 nucleotides) under Heterobothrium okamotoi. RNAcentral's name for it is "tRNA-Val". The record is from RNAcentral. Lineage: Eukaryota; Metazoa; Platyhelminthes; Monogenea; Mazocraeidea; Diclidophoridae.
AGGCAGGGUAGUUUAUAAAAAAUAAGUGUUUUACACACACUAGAAGUCAUUAGGACUUCUGCCUU